RNAcentral lists this long non-coding RNA (1443 nucleotides) under Anas platyrhynchos (mallard). Its description in RNAcentral is "lncRNA (ENSAPLG00020003348.1)". The record is from RNAcentral. Lineage: Eukaryota; Metazoa; Chordata; Aves; Anseriformes; Anatidae.
AUGGGUGGCACUGGGGACAUGGGACACCCAUGGGUGACACAGGGUGCCCAUGGGUGGCACUGGGGGCAUGGGACACCCAUGGGUGGCACUGGGGACAUGGGGCACCCAUGGGUGGUGCUGGGGGCAUGGGACACCCAUAGGUGGCUACAGGGACGUGGGGCACCCAUGGGCGGCACUGGGUGCCCAUGGGUGGCACUGGGGGCAUGGGGUGCUUGUGGGUGGCACUGGGGUACUCAUGGGUGGCACUGGGGACAUGGGACACCCAUGGGUGGCACUGGGGACGUGAGACACCCAUGGGUGGCACUGGGGACACGGGGUGCCCAUGGGUGGCACUGGGGAUAUGGGGUGCUUGUGGGUGGCACCGGGGACAUGGGGCACCCAUGGGUGGUGCUGGGGACAUGGGGCACCCAUAGGUGGCUACAGGGACGUGGGGCACCCGUGGGUGGCACGGGGGGCGUGGGGUGCUCGUGGGUGACACAAGGGACAUGGGACACCCACGGCUGUCACCAGGAACAAGGGGACACCCAUGGGUGCCACCACCUCCCGCUGGCCAUCCCCACGCCCCCCCCCCCAGCCCCAAUCCCCCCCCCACGCUUUCUGUCCCCCCCCCAGAACCUCCUGAGCCUGGCACCCCUCAAGAAGAAGCCCCCCCCGUCGCCCCCCGUGGACGUGGAGCUGGCCCUGCCCAAGCUGGCCCUGCUGCCCCCCCGGGGGGGGGCAGGCACCGAGCCCCCCCCCGCCACCCCGUCGCCCCCCCGCGUGGUGCCCGAAGCCCCCCGGCCGCAGCGGGUGACGGUGAGGGAGGCGGCGGCGGCGCUGGAGGUGGCACUGCCGGGGACCCUCACCGAGCCCGGGGGGGGGACACCGGAGCCGGGGGGGGGGCCCCGCUUGCCCGCCGUGGAGGUGGCGGUCCCCAAAGUGGGGGUGCCCAAAGUGGGGGUGCCCAAAGUGGGGGUCCCCAAGGUGGCGGUCCCCAAGGUGGGGCUGGGCGCCCCCCCGCCCAAGGAGGUGACCCCGGUGGCACCGGUGGCACCAGUGCUGGCCAUCGCCGUCCCCAAGGUCGAGGUGGGUUUGGCGCUGCCCAAAGCUGGCGCCCAAGGGAAAUUGCCCAAAUUGGGCCUUUCUUGCCCCAAAACGCCUGCCGAGGGCGGCGAAGGGCCCAAAAUGCCCGGCCUGGAGGUGGCCGCCCCCGCGGUGGCCCUGGAGGUGGCUUUGGGGAGCGGGGGGGACGCGGGCGUCCCCGAGGCCAAACCCCCCAAAUUGGCCCCCCCCAAAGUGAAGGGGGGCAAAUUGGCCCCCCCCGGGGGCUGGGAGCUGGGGGGGUGGCGGUGGGGGGGGGCGAGGCUGCCCCAAUUCGGGGGCUCGACCCCCGACAUCCGCAGCGGGGGGGUCCCCAAAGCGAGGCCGGCGGGGCGGGGGGGCAGCGCCGAGAGCUUGCUGGGG